This 280-nucleotide ribosomal RNA is filed under the name uncultured bacterium. RNAcentral's name for it is "partial 16S ribosomal RNA". It matches the Rfam family "Bacterial small subunit ribosomal RNA", at positions 506 to 784 of the family's 1533-position model. The record is from RNAcentral.
UGCCAGCCGCCGCGGUAAUACGGAGGGUGCAAGCGUUGCUCGGAACCACUGGGCGUAAAGGGUGCGUAGGCGGCCUUUUAAGUCAGAUGUGAAAGCCCUCGGCUCAACCGGGGAACUGCAUUUGAAACUGAAAGGCUUGAGUACGGUAGAGGGAAACGGAAUUCCUGGUGUAGCGGUGAAAUGCGUUGAUAUCAGGAGGAACACCGGUGGCGAAGGCGGCUUCCUGGGCCGAUACUGACGCUGAAGCACGAAAGCGUUGGGUAGCAAACGGGAUUAGAUA